GCGCAGUGCAUUGAAAGUGUUUUCUUACCAGUCUGGUUGGAAAGAAAAGAUUCAAGAGGAAUCAAAACAAAGCAACUGUUGUUAAGUUAGAGAAAAUUUUAGAGAUUUGCUGUAAACAAAAUUUCAUUGGCCUUCAGGAGGUCGUCUUCUUUAUAAUCAAUGAAUCGGCAAGGUUUGUUUACAACGCUUGGAGCUUUGGCUGAUGCACGAAGUGAUUUGUUUACAUUUCUUUGAUUCCACCCUCAAACAUUGCCGGACCUCUUACGAAAAAGAUCCGGCAGCAAAUUUAUAUGGGCUAAGGUUUGAGGGUGGAAUCGAAGAAAUGGGGUUAUGUUGCUGCUUGCAAAAGCUAGGUCAAGGACAGAAUACUUUUUCCGGAACCAGCGGAACCGGUAUUUCACCAUGUUUGGAGGAAUGUGUCAAAACCUUCUAGUUGCAUUGUAGCGGUUUCGGCAGGUUUGUCAUCCGAGAUCGCAGCAGGAGUUGUUUUGGAGGAACCAUCUCGAUCCCAUUACGGACAUCACGGGAAACUUCGGCGGUAGUAGGUUCAACAGCGUCGGCGAUCUUGAUGGCAUCGAUUGCCGAUUGAAUCUUUUGGAUGUUUAUCACUAAUUUCCGGAGCAGGACCUCGUCUCGUGACUGUUGGUAAAAAUU
Long non-coding RNA from Culex quinquefasciatus (southern house mosquito), 654 nucleotides. RefSeq lists it as uncharacterized. The transcript has 2 exons. The record is from RefSeq and is a predicted model, not a curated record. NCBI's taxonomy places the organism in Eukaryota, Metazoa, Arthropoda, Insecta, Diptera, Culicidae.